CGCUUGUCUCAAAGAUUAAGCCAUGCAUGUCUAAGUAUAAACAACUUUAUACUGUGAAACUGCGAACGGCUCAUUAUAUCAGCAAUAAUUUAUUUGAUGGUACCUUACUACAUGGACAACUGUGGUAAUUCUAGAGCUAAUACAUGCACAAAGUCCCGACUCUCUUUUGGGGAGGGAUGUAUUUAUUAGAUAAAAAACCAAUGCAGGGGUAAAACCCUGGUCACAUUUUGGUGAAUCAUAGUAACUUUUUCGGAUCGCAUGACUUUUCGUCGGCGACAGUUCAUUCAAAUUUCUGCCCUACCAGCUUUCGACGGUAGUGUAGUGGACUACCGUGGCGUUAACGGGUGACGGAGAAUUAGGGUUCGAUUCCGGAGAGGGAGCCUGAGAAACGGCUACCACAUCCAAGGAAGGCAGCAGGCGCGCAAAUUACCCAAUUCUGAUACAGAGAGGUAGUGACAAGAAAUAACAACACCCGGCCUUUACAGGUCGGGUGAUUGGAAUGAGUACAAUUUAAAUCCCUUAACGAGGAUCAACUGGAGGGCAAGUCUGGUGCCAGCAGCCGCGGUAAUUCCAGCUCCAGUAGCAUAUAUUAACGUUGUUGCAGUUAAAAAGCUCGUAGUUGGAUUUCUGGUACGAUGCGCCUAGUCCGCCCGGGUUUUUUCUCGGUGUGAGUAUUGGCGCGCGUCUGCCAUCCUUCCGGCGUACAGUCGUCUGCCCUUCACUGGGUGUGCGGCUGCGCUCCGGAUCGUUUACUUUGAAAAAAUUAGAGUGUUCAAAGCAGCCUUGCGCUGUGAAUACAUUAGCAUGGAAUAAUAAUCUAGGACUUCGGUUCUAUUUGGUGGGUUUCUAGCACUGAAGUAAUGAUUGAUAGGGAUAGUUGGGGGUGCUAGUAUUGGGCGGCCAGAGGUGAAAUUCUUGGAUUCGCUCAAGACUAACUUAUGCGAAAGCAUUCACCAAGGAUGACUUCUUUAAUCAAGAACGAAAGUUGGGGGAUCGAAGAGGAUCAGAUACCCUCGUAGUCUCAACCAUAAACUAUGCCAACUAGGGAUCGGUGAACCGUUGCAUUUUCGACUUCAUCGGCACCUUAUGAGAAAUCAAAGUCUUUGGGUUCCGGGGGGAGUAUGGUCGCAAGGCUGAAACUUAAAGGAAUUGACGGAAGGGCACCACCAGGAGUGGAGCCUGCGGCUUAAUUUGACUCAACACGGGAAAACUUACCAGGUCCAGACAUAGUGAGGAUUGACAGAUUGAAGUUCUUUCUUGAUUCUAUGGGUGGUGGUGC
RNAcentral lists this ribosomal RNA (1279 nucleotides) under uncultured Cercozoa. RNAcentral describes it as "SSU rRNA". It matches the Rfam family "Eukaryotic small subunit ribosomal RNA", at positions 29 to 1283 of the family's 1831-position model. Lineage: Eukaryota; Cercozoa. The record is from RNAcentral.